AUCUUGCGAUUAGGAACUACAAUUCUAUCCAAUCCAUCCAUAAAAACACUCAUGUGCAUAAGGAAACUAAAGGUACAUUCUUUGUUACUAAACUAAGCUAGAAAUUGUACUGCCUGAUUGCAAAUUGCAGUCCUAUUAUGACCGCUCAAGUAAACUACCACGCUUUUUAUCAGGUUGACAAACUUGCAUCAUCUUCACGAUAGAGCCAGCUUAGAGACGUGGGGUCUCCGUCCUCAUCGCUGAUUUUUCGCAACUUUCAAGUUGGAUUCUGGUGAAUCAGCUUGCGUUUUGAUAGCGAAACAAUUCAUCGAGAGAUAACUGAUUGGUCACAAACUUAAUUGUUCUUCCGUGUGGUGUGGAGCUCCCGAUACUCUCUUCGGCUAUAAAAAUGCGCAAGGAGCUACGAUGUAUCGAUUGUUUUGUAUCGAUCCUAUUGAUUGCUGCAAGUUGUGCCCAUGGUCAUCAGUCAAAGAACCACUCAGAGAUUGAGAAUCCUGUGGUGGAGUUUUUAAACGCCAAGAAUGAACAGCCACUUCGCCAGAUCAAUGUCAAUGAGCACUUCGACCCGUUAAGCAACAAUCAGCUCAAAACAGAACUCUUCUCAACGGACAGUUGCGAGGUAAAGGAUGGCCAUUACAGCUGCUGUACCAUUCUCAGCUGGCAGCAAUGGAUGUUCGUGAGCCGGGGAGUGUUGAUGGAAUAAAAAUGACACAAAAAGCCAAUGAAUGAGGAUGAUAAGUAC
Molecule: long non-coding RNA, 742 nt
Filed under: Bemisia tabaci
Lineage: Eukaryota; Metazoa; Arthropoda; Insecta; Hemiptera; Aleyrodidae
Description: lncRNA ENSSSA3NGG002810
Source: RNAcentral